GGGGAUGACUUGGUUUUGACUGCAAGGUCGAUUGAGCUGUAAGCAUGUCGAGCAAUGAAUAAGUACUCGUAAAAAUCAUUUUCAAAACUUUAAACGGCGAGAAUAACUACGCUUUAGCUGCAUAAUCCGAAUCACAGUAGGAUUGGCCUAGUUCCACAAGGUGGAAAAGCUUUAUGUCUCUCGAUAGCCUUGGUUAACGGCGCUCGAAUUUUUGACAUCGUAAAAGUCAACAUAGGAAUAUGAAUGUCAUGGUUAUAUUCCGAAACUAAAAUGAAUAAAUUUUAAGUGGGCGGUUUUUGGUCAGCUUAUUAUCGAAAAUUAAUCAAAAACUACGCAUGUAGAAAGCACUUUAAUUGCUUGUUUGGACGAGGGUUCGAGUCCCUCCAUCUCCACA
This 394-nucleotide transfer-messenger RNA is filed under the name uncultured Urechidicola sp. It matches the Rfam family "transfer-messenger RNA". From Rfam's summary of the family: Bacterial tmRNA, also known as 10Sa RNA or SsrA, is named for its dual tRNA and mRNA-like properties. Its role is to liberate the mRNA from a stalled ribosome. The record is from RNAcentral. Lineage: Bacteria; Pseudomonadati; Bacteroidota; Flavobacteriia; Flavobacteriales; Flavobacteriaceae.